Arabidopsis thaliana (thale cress) is the source of this 228-nucleotide long non-coding RNA. RefSeq annotates it as other RNA. NCBI's taxonomy places the organism in Eukaryota, Viridiplantae, Streptophyta, Magnoliopsida, Brassicales, Brassicaceae. The transcript has a single exon. The record is from RefSeq.
UUUCUCGUCCUCAAAGCCGAAUGUGAAGUCCCAAGUUUUUCCUCUCUAAUAUCUCAAUUAAAUCAUCCUCUAUCCCGCAAAUUACAUAACCAUCACAAAGAAAGUCUUUAAUGUUUUUGCACAGUACGUAGUUUUCAUUAAGGAUAUGUAAUCUAGUUUAACCAAUUCAAACUAAACCGAAACCAUACCCAAAAAUGAAAAAUAUGUACUCAAUUGUGGUAUCUGUAU